Molecule: long non-coding RNA, 1027 nt
Organism: Onychostruthus taczanowskii (white-rumped snowfinch)
Lineage: Eukaryota; Metazoa; Chordata; Aves; Passeriformes; Passeridae
Exons: 2
Source: RefSeq, a predicted model, not a curated record
GCUGGCAAAGCAAUCCAGAGGGGCUUUGGUCAGCACAAACUACACAGAGAACUUCUCUUCACUGGCCUGGGCAGGUCUGCACAGCAAAUCAUCUACACAGGGACAAAAGGACUCCAGAAGACAGACAGCUGGAGUUCAAGUGGCUCCAACACCCACACCAGUCAAGCCCAAGAUGUUUGGUAUUUGGACACUGGAGUCUGGGUUCCAAUCCCUCUCCCAGUAUUAUCCAUUUGGUUGUUUAAAUGACAAGCAAACUCCAGCACCAGUCCCUGUGAAGGAUAAGCAGCUUUUGCCAACAGCAACAGUGGCACGGGGAAGGCUGGCUCGGGGAGGAGGAGUUUGUUUGUGGGGAAGUGAGCUUGGCCAGGCUGACAGGGAGCUGUGGAGGUGGAAAUCCCUUCCUGCAGGUGCUGCUUUCCCUCUCAUCACUUUAUUUACUGCAGGACCACUGGUUUGGAAGCAUUUCUGAUGGACAGAGAGCAAAAGGAGAAUUUAAUGAUGGUCUAUGUGCAAAGGUAACCCAACAAUAACCACAGUCUCAUGGAAAGCUAAAAUAAAUUCUAGAAAACACUUAGAGAAAAAACAAAUAUCUGCAGCUGAAACCAGCUCAUCUAUUUUUGGAAAAUUGCAAGGAUUGCCUCGCCCAGCAAGAGCGGAAUUAUGCAACCCCAAGAGGAAAAAAUCCCAUAAAUCCCAAGUUCUUUUCAAUUCCUUUUGGUCAAUUCCAGGCUGGAACCCCCAAACCCCAAACUGGAGAACCUGCAACACCUCGAGGCCGGAAAAAUCCCGGGAGGAAAAAAACAAAAUCCCAUAAAUCCCAAGUUCUUUUCAAUUCCUUUUGGUCAAUUCCAGGCUGGAACCCCCAAACCCCAAAGUGGAGAACCUGCAACACCUCGAGGCCGGAAAAAUCCCGGGAGGAAAAAAACAAAAUCCCAUAAAUCCCAAGUUCUUUUCAAUUCCUUUUGGUCAAUUCCAGGCUGGAACCCCCAAACCCCAAACUGGAGAACCUGCAACACCUCGAGGCCGG